Long non-coding RNA from Ornithorhynchus anatinus (platypus), 763 nucleotides. RefSeq lists it as uncharacterized. The record is from RefSeq and is a predicted model, not a curated record. The transcript is spliced from 6 exons. NCBI's taxonomy places the organism in Eukaryota, Metazoa, Chordata, Mammalia, Monotremata, Ornithorhynchidae.
UGUCGCGGCCCGAGUCGGCCAUUCUCUUUCUGUGUCAUGCUUUGGGCGUGUUUUGUGCGGCAAUGGGCUUCUGGAAGGUUGGGGACACCACGUGACGUCCAGUAGGGCUCCUGAAAGGUUGGAGACACCAUGUGAUUUCCAGCAGGGCUUCUGGAAGGUUGGGAACACCAUGUGACAUCUAGCAGGGCUUCUGGAAGGUUGAGGACACCAUGUGAUAUCUAGCAGGUAAGAAAUGACUCCAAGCUGACUGCCUUCCCUCCUAACAGGGAUAUCCUGUAGGUAGCUACUGGGGAGAGAAGCUAUUUGUAGCCCUGGUACAACAGAUCAGCAAAACGGUGGCUGCCUACUCCAAGUGAAACAGCAGGAAGACUUCCCCAAGGCAGGCUGGUUCCACCAUGAUGUGAUCUUUUCAGUGGCAGCUGCCACUUGUCUGCUGUGUGACCUUAGGCAAGUCACUUCAUGUUUCUGCCUCAGUGCCCUCAUUUGUAAAAUGGGGAUUAAAAUUGUGAGCCUUCUGUGGGACAGGGACUGUGUCCAGCCUGAUAAACAUGUAUCUACCUUAGUGCUUAGUACAGUACCUGCUACAUAGUGUUUAACAAGUAACAAUUAUCAUUGGCUGCCUGGACUCCAACUUGUGUCGAUUCAACUUUUGCAUUUCAGGGUGGGAUGGGGGACUGUCCUGCAGGGAUUUAUGGUGGCGGGGAGGGGGUGAAGAAAACAUGUAUACUAUUACAAAAUAAAGUCUAUGAAGUCUAUUCUAAAA